Molecule: ribosomal RNA, 550 nt
Filed under: Psychrophrynella chirihampatu
Lineage: Eukaryota; Metazoa; Chordata; Amphibia; Anura; Craugastoridae
Description: partial 16S ribosomal RNA
Rfam family: Bacterial large subunit ribosomal RNA
Source: RNAcentral
ACAUCGCCUUUUGCAACUUAUAAAAGGUCCAGCCUGCCCAGUGACUUGUUCAACGGCCGCGGUAUCCUAACCGCGCGAAGGUAGCGUAAUCACUUGUUUUCUAAAUCAAGACUAGUAUGAACGGCACCACGAGGAUCUAACUCGUCUCCUUUUUUUUAUCCGUGAAACUAAUCUCCCCGUGAAGAAGCGGGGAUUUAUAUAUAAGACGAGAAGACCCUAUGGAGCUUUAAACGAUAGGCCACACACUAGACAAAUCUACCAUUUUGGCCCUAUGUUUUAGGUUGGGGUGACCCAGGAGAAAAACUUACCCUCCUGACUGAUACGGAAUUUUUCCUUAGCAAAAAAUUACACUUUUAAGCACCAACAAAUUGACACUCAUUGACCCAGUUUCCUGAUCAACGAACCAAGUUACCCUAGGGAUAACAGCGCAAUCUGCUUCAAGAGUCCCUAUCGACAAGCGGGUUUACGACCUCGAUGUUGGAUCAAGAUAUCCCAGUGGUGCAGCCUCUACUAAUGGUUCGUUUGUUCAACGAUUAAAAUCUUACGUGAU